This 253-nucleotide ribosomal RNA is filed under the name uncultured bacterium. RNAcentral describes it as "partial 16S ribosomal RNA". It matches the Rfam family "Bacterial small subunit ribosomal RNA", at positions 524 to 776 of the family's 1533-position model. The record is from RNAcentral.
UACGAAGGGGGCGAGCGUUGUUCGGAAUCACUGGGCUUAAAGCGUGCGUAGGCGGGCAGGGAAGUCAGAAGUGAAAGCCCCGGGCUUAACCCGGGAAUUGCUUUUGAAACUCCCUGUCUAGAAACCGGAAGAGGUUAGCGGAAUAUCCAGUGUAGAGGUGAAAUUCGCAGAUAUUGGAUGGAACACCAGUGGCGAAGGCGGCUAACUGGUCCGGUAUUGACGCUGAGGCACGAAAGCAUGGGGAGCAAACAGG